AGUUAAAAAGCUCGUAGUUGGAUUUCUGCGGGGGCGGGGCGGCCGGUUGCUUAUAGCAACUCGAGCUAGCACUUCCCCUGCAUCCCGCCGCGAACCGUGCUACCAUUAGUUUGGUGGCGCCGGGGAUCGGCUCGUUUACUUUGAGAAAAAUAGAGUGUUCAAAGCAGGCCACACGCCUUGUAUAAGUUAGCAUGGAAUAAUGAUAAAGGACUUCGGUUCUAUUUUGUUGGUGUUCGGGACUGAAGUAAUGAUUGAUAGGGACAGUUGGGGCGGUCCGUAUUCCAAAGCGAGAGGUGAAAUUCUUAGACCUUCGGAAGACGAACAGCUGCGAAAGCGUUCCGCAAGGAUGUUCCCUUUGAUCAAGAACGAAAGUUGGGGGAUCGAAGACGAUCAGAUACCGUCGUAGUCUCAACUAUAAACUAUACCAGCUAGGGAUCGGCCAACGUUUAAUUACACCGACUUGGUCGGCACCUUAUGAGAAAUCAAAGCAUCUGGGUUCCGGGGGGAGUAUGGUCGCAAGGCUGAAACUUA
Molecule: ribosomal RNA, 531 nt
Filed under: uncultured marine eukaryote
Lineage: Eukaryota
Description: bacterial SSU rRNA
Rfam family: Eukaryotic small subunit ribosomal RNA
Source: RNAcentral